GACGAACGCUGGCGGCGUGCUUAACACAUGCAAGUCGAGCGGAAAGGCCACUUCGGUGGUACUCGAGCGGCGAACGGGUGAGUAACACGUGAGUAAUCUGCCCUUGGCUUUGGGAUAGCCACCGGAAACGGUGAUUAAUACCGGAUACGACCACUCCAGGCAUCUGGUGGUGGUGGAAAGUUUUUCGGCCAGGGAUGUGCUCGCGGCCUAUCAGCUUGAUGGUGAGGUAAUGGCUCACCAUGGCUUCGACGGGUAGCCGGCCUGAGAGGGUGACCGGUCACACUGGGACUGAGACACGGCCCAGACUCCUACGGGAGGCAGAAGGGGGGAAUAUUGGACAGUGGGCGGAAGCCUGAUCCAGAAACGCCGCGUGAGGAAUGACGGCUUUCGGGUCGUAAACAUCUUUCGGUAGGGACGAAGCGAAAGUGACGGUACCUACUAAAGAAGCACCGGCCAACUACGUG
This 464-nucleotide ribosomal RNA is filed under the name uncultured bacterium. RNAcentral's name for it is "partial 16S ribosomal RNA". It matches the Rfam family "Bacterial small subunit ribosomal RNA", at positions 28 to 507 of the family's 1533-position model. The record is from RNAcentral.